Molecule: non-coding RNA, 64 nt
Filed under: Intrasporangium oryzae
Lineage: Bacteria; Bacillati; Actinomycetota; Actinomycetes; Micrococcales; Intrasporangiaceae
Also listed under: 1 other name
Source: RNAcentral
ACUCGGGCGCCCGCCGCGUCCGCGGACGAGGGAGCCGUACCCGCCCAGCGACAAGACGGCCAGA